RNAcentral lists this ribosomal RNA (428 nucleotides) under uncultured prokaryote. RNAcentral's name for it is "bacterial SSU rRNA". It matches the Rfam family "Bacterial small subunit ribosomal RNA", at positions 355 to 774 of the family's 1533-position model. The record is from RNAcentral.
UGAGGAAUUUUGCGCAAUGGGAGCAAUCCUGACGCAGCAACGCCGCGUGGGUGAUGAAGGUUUUCGGAUCGUAAAGCUCUGUUGUUAGGGAAGAACAAGUACCGUUCGAAUAGGGCGGUACCUUGACGGUACCUAACCAGAAAGCCACGGCUAACUACGUGCCAGCAGCCGCGGUAAUACGUAGGUGGCAAGCGUUGUCCGGAAUUAUUGGGCGUAAAGGGCUCGCAGGCGGUUUCUUAAGUCUGAUGUGAAAGCCCCCGGCUCAACCGGGGAGGGUCAUUGGAAACUGGGGAACUUGAGUGCAGAAGAGGAGAGUGGAAUUCCACGUGUAGCGGUGAAAUGCGUAGAGAUGUGGAGGAACACCAGUGGCGAAGGCGACUCUCUGGUCUGUAACUGACGCUGAGGAGCGAAAGCGUGGGGAGCGAACA